CCAAUAGCGUAUAUUAAAGUUGUUGCAGUUAAAAAGCUCGUAGUUGAAUUUCGAGAUCCAAUUGUUGGUCGUGCUUCGGUACGUACUGGCAUUAUUGAUCUCUCCCUUCUGACGAUCCGCGAUGUCAUUAAUUUGGUGUCGCGGGGAAUCAGGACUGUUACUUUGAAAAAAUUAGAGUGUUUAAAGCAGGCUCACGCUUGAAUACACUAGCAUGGAAUAAUGAAAUAGGAUGUUUGAUUCUAUUUUGUUGGUUUCUAGGAUCGACGUAAUGAUUAAUAGGGAUAGUUGGGGGCAUUAGUAUUCAAUUGUCAGAGGUGAAAUUCUUGGAUUUAUUGAAGACUAACUACUGCGAAAGCAUUUGCCAAGGAUGUUUUCAUUAAUCAAGAACGAAAGUUAGGGGAUCGAAGACGAUCAGAUACCGUCGUAGUCUUAACCAUAAACUAUGCCGACUAGGGAUCGGAUGAUGUUAAUUUUUUAAUGACUCAUUCGGCGCCUUACG
This 499-nucleotide ribosomal RNA is filed under the name uncultured Glomeromycotina. RNAcentral's name for it is "partial small subunit ribosomal RNA". It matches the Rfam family "Eukaryotic small subunit ribosomal RNA", at positions 591 to 1092 of the family's 1831-position model. The record is from RNAcentral. Lineage: Eukaryota; Fungi; Glomeromycota.